CCUACGGGUGGCAGCAGUGAGGAAUAUUGGUCAAUGGGCGGAAGCCUGAACCAGCCAAGUAGCGUGCGGGAUGAAGGCCCUACGGGUCGUAAACCGCUUUUGCACGGGGAUAACACCCUCCACUUGUGGAGGUCUGCAGGUACCGUGCGAAUAAGGGCCGGCUAAUUCCGUUCCAGCCGCCGCGGUAAUACGGAAGGCCCGAUCGUUAUACGGAUUCAUUGUUCUUAAAGGGAGCGUAGGCGGGCGUUCACGUCAGCUGUAAAAUCGCGCGGCUCACCCGCCCCCCGCAGUUGAAACUGGACGCCUUGAGUUCACAACAGGCAGGCGGAAUUCGGGGUGUAGCGGUGAAAUGCAGAGAUAUCACGAGGAACCCCGAUUGCGAAGGCAGCCCGCCGGGGUGCGACUGACGCUGAGGCUCGAAGGUGCGGGUAUCAAACAGGAUUAGAUACCCGUGUAGUC
RNAcentral lists this ribosomal RNA (459 nucleotides) under uncultured bacterium. RNAcentral describes it as "partial 16S ribosomal RNA". It matches the Rfam family "Bacterial small subunit ribosomal RNA", at positions 338 to 795 of the family's 1533-position model. The record is from RNAcentral.